Molecule: transfer RNA, 73 nt
Filed under: Ciona intestinalis (vase tunicate)
Lineage: Eukaryota; Metazoa; Chordata; Ascidiacea; Phlebobranchia; Cionidae
Description: tRNA-Val (CAC) (tRNA-Val-CAC-10-1)
Source: Rfam by way of RNAcentral
GUUUCCGUAGUGCAGUGGUUAUCACGUUCGCCUCACACGCGAAUGAUCCCCGGUUCGAGCCCAGGCGGGAACA